GACGAACGCUGGCGGCGUGCUUAACACAUGCAAGUCGAACGGAAAGGCCCUGCUGUUGUGGUGUGCUCGAGUGGCGAACGGGAGAGUAACACGUGAUUAACCUGCCCUUGACUUUGCUAUAACUUCAGGGAACUAAUGCUAAUACCUGACAGCUGCUCCCGCUGCAGGGUGGGGGAUGGGUUGUUUUGGCGGUAGGGGAUGGACUCGCGGCAUAUCAGCUUGUUGGUGGGGUAGUGGCUUACCAAGGCCAGGACGGGUAGCCGGCCUGAGAGGGUGACCGGCCACACUGGGACUGAGACACGGCCCAGACUCCUACGGGAGGCAGCAGUGGGGAAUAUUGCACAAUGGGCGGAAGCCUGAUGCAGCAACGCCGCGUGCGGGAUGACGGCCUUCGGGUUGUAAACCGCUUUCGCCUGGGACGAAGCGUGAGUGACGGUAAUGGGUAAAGAAGCACCGGCUAACUACGUG
RNAcentral lists this ribosomal RNA (468 nucleotides) under uncultured bacterium. Its description in RNAcentral is "partial 16S ribosomal RNA". It matches the Rfam family "Bacterial small subunit ribosomal RNA", at positions 28 to 507 of the family's 1533-position model. The record is from RNAcentral.